RNAcentral lists this ribosomal RNA (441 nucleotides) under uncultured bacterium. Its description in RNAcentral is "partial 16S ribosomal RNA". It matches the Rfam family "Bacterial small subunit ribosomal RNA", at positions 338 to 795 of the family's 1533-position model. The record is from RNAcentral.
CCUACGGGAGGCAGCAGUGGGGAAUAUUGCACAAUGGGGGAAACCCUGAUGCAGCGACGCCGCGUGAGUGAAGAAGUAUUUCGGUAUGUAAAGCUCUAUCAGCAGGAACGAGACAAGACGGUACCUGACUAAGAAGCCCCGGCUAACUACGUGCCAGCAGCCGCGGUAAUACGUAGGGGGCAAGCGUUAUCCGGAAUCACUGGGUGUAAAGGGAGCGUAGACGGCUGAGCAAGCCUGAAGUGAAAGGCGGGGGCCCAACCCCCGGACUGCUUUGGGAACUGUACGGCUGGAGGGCAGGAGAGGUAAGUGGAAUUCCUAGUGUAGCGGUGAAAUGCGUAGAUAUUAGGAGGAACACCAGUGGCGAAGGCGGCUUACUGGACUGUAACUGACGUUGAGGCUCGAAAGCGUGGGGAGCAAACAGGAUUAGAUACCCUAGUAGUC